Paramuricea clavata is the source of this 156-nucleotide non-coding RNA. Lineage: Eukaryota; Metazoa; Cnidaria; Anthozoa; Malacalcyonacea; Plexauridae. The record is from the annotation of a GenBank genome assembly.
UUAUCAUGACUGUAUCAGACUUGUUAGAACAACCUUGUAGCAAGUGUGAUAAUGCCAUCAAACUUGAUACAAGUUGUUAACAACUUGUAACAAGCUUGUUGAUAUUAUCACACUUGUUGCAAGGUUGUUCCAACAAGUCCGAUGCAGUCAUGGUAU